This 228-nucleotide ribosomal RNA is filed under the name uncultured bacterium. RNAcentral describes it as "partial 16S ribosomal RNA". It matches the Rfam family "Bacterial small subunit ribosomal RNA", at positions 568 to 795 of the family's 1533-position model. The record is from RNAcentral.
UGCGUAGGCGGGAUGAUAAGUCAGUGGUGAAAUCCUACAGCUUAACUGUAGAACUGCCAUUGAUACUGUCAUUCUUGAGUACAACUGAAGUGGGCGGAAUGUGUCAUGUAGCGGUGAAAUGCAUAGAUAUGACACAGAACACCGAUUGCGAAGGCAGCUCACUAAACUGUAACUGACGCUGAGGCACGAAAGCGUGGGGAGCGAACAGGAUUAGAUACCCUGGUAGUC